This 97-nucleotide small nuclear RNA is filed under the name Castor canadensis (American beaver). The record is from RNAcentral. Lineage: Eukaryota; Metazoa; Chordata; Mammalia; Rodentia; Castoridae.
GUGCUCACUUUGGCAGUACACACUAAAACUGGAAUAAUACAGAGAUUAGCAUGGCCCCUGUGUAAGGAUGAUAUGCAAAAAGGAUAUGCAAAUUUAU